Molecule: long non-coding RNA, 1544 nt
Organism: Fundulus heteroclitus (mummichog)
Lineage: Eukaryota; Metazoa; Chordata; Actinopteri; Cyprinodontiformes; Fundulidae
Exons: 4
Source: RefSeq, a predicted model, not a curated record
AAGUCCACUAUUGUGUGCUAAAAGGCCUUGCCAUACUUAACUAACCUUCCCUCCCACGGGUCUUGCGUAAAGUGCGCCCCGGAUGCUCACCGGCUGCGUGAGAAAGCUACAGUUAGGCAGGAAACACGCAGUUAUCGCAAGGUGGUGCACUGGAGCUGCGAAACGCUGGAGUUUUUCCAUUUUGGGUGAAGAAGAGUUAUUAAAGUCAAAUAUUUCGAAACUUGGACUAAAAAGCUGAGUGAGCAAGUGGGCAAUCAUGUGCUAAAUUGGGGCAUCUCAGGACAGAGCUGGCCUCCUGAUGAUUUUAUUCAGCUGCCUUCUCUCAGCUAGAGAUCAGCUGCUGCUCCAACAAACCACUCCAUAGAAGAUGGCAGAUGCCACCACAGAUUUAAAGAAGGUCUUCAGGAGGGCCCCUUGCAGUUCCAAAGAUCUCAUUCUCCUCAACAGGGCCAGCGGGGAGACUCACGCAGAGCUCUGGGCAGAAAAGGCUGAAGGAGGUUCAAACCCAGCAUGUGACCCAACAUUCAGCUUGCCUCUAUUCACCUUCGUCUGCUCUUGGCCCCUGUGGUUCUGCGUCCAGCUGUUGAAUCACAGAUGAAAAAGGGCUGAUCGGAGUUGACGGGCUGUCUUUGUGCGUGCCUGUCUGAACGCCUGUGGCCGUGCCAAAUGUACAGACUUUUGCAUACUAAUGUUGAGGUCAAGGGUCAUACAAGCACAAAACAUGUGACUUCCGGAGGGAAUGGGUAAGAUGUGUAAGAGGAACUGGGCACACAUGUAUUCUAUUUAUGAAUAGAAAACGGUGGUAAGAAAAUGCCAUCUCAUAAAUCUAAUGUCAAAAAAGGAACAAUAUUACAGGUGAAAUGGUGCUAUGAAAACAUUUAAAAAGAUGAUGGUGUUAUGGUUGCACUUUAAAAUUAGUUAACAAAUUCACACACAUCAUGGGUGUGAAUGUUGUAUCUUUGUUUUGCAUUUAACAUAUUUUUCAGGGUUGGAUAGGUAACUAUAUAGUAAUUGCAUCAAAUAGCUGCAAGGGUAUGUAUGUGUAAUAUUUUUUCUAUCAUCCACAAAGAUUUAUACUAACACUGCUAAUGUUUGGCUAAAUGUCCCCAAUCAGCUUGACCCAUAACUAUCAAAAUCUUCUGGCAUAACUGACUAAAAAGACAGAGAUAACUACACUGCAUUAAUCCCCAGCAUCCAAUAAUGUAAGAUCAUUGGCAGUAAAAACGAAAUUUUAAAUAUAGUUGAAUACUUGGUUGUGGUUAAGCCAAUCAUGAAUUUUAAAUUUUAGUCUGUUUUUUCAUCCUACAACUGGUUUUAUUGUGUGUUUUGGAUCAUUUUCCGGUCGAAACACCCAGCUGUGUCCAAGUUUUAACAAGUUUUAACCAUAUGGACGUAUUCUCUUCAUUUGCAUUACCCUGUUUAUCUGUUGCAAUGCACCAAUGCUGCUGGCAGCAAAGCAGCCCACAGCUUGAUGCUUCCACCAGUUUGCUCACCAUUGUGAACCAGAUUGUUGUUUUAAAGCCUCAUCUUGAUUCCUCCAAACA